UUGGAGGGCAAGUCUGGUGCCAGCAGCCGCGGUAAUUCCAGCUCCAAUAGCGUAUAUUAAAGUUGUUGCAGUUAAAAAGCUCGUAGUUGAAUUUCGGGAUCAAAUUGUCGGUCGUGCCUCGGUACGAACUGGUAUUAUUGGUUCCUCCCUUCUGAAGAACCGCGAUGUCAUUAAUUUGGUGUCGUGGGGAAUCAGGACUGUUACUUUGAAAAAAUUAGAGUGUUUAAAGCAGGCUUACGCUUGAAUACAUUAGCAUGGAAUAAUGAAAUAGGACGUUUGAUUCUAUUUUGUUGGUUUCUAGGAUCGACGUAAUGAUUAAUAGGGAUAGUUGGGGGCAUUAGUAUUCAAUUGUCAGAGGUGAAAUUCUUGGAUUUAUUGAAGACUAACUACUGCGAAAGCAUUUGCCAAGGAUGUUUUCAUUAAUCAAGAACGAAAGUUAGGGGAUCGAAGACGAUCAGAUACCGUCGUAGUCUUAACCAUAAACUAUGCCGACUAGGGAUCGGAUGAUGUUAAUUUUUUAAUGACUCAUUCGGCGCCUUACGGGAAAC
This 548-nucleotide ribosomal RNA is filed under the name uncultured Glomeromycotina. RNAcentral's name for it is "SSU rRNA". It matches the Rfam family "Eukaryotic small subunit ribosomal RNA", at positions 548 to 1098 of the family's 1831-position model. Lineage: Eukaryota; Fungi; Glomeromycota. The record is from RNAcentral.